RNAcentral lists this ribosomal RNA (279 nucleotides) under uncultured bacterium. Its description in RNAcentral is "partial 16S ribosomal RNA". It matches the Rfam family "Bacterial small subunit ribosomal RNA", at positions 506 to 784 of the family's 1533-position model. The record is from RNAcentral.
UGCCAGCCGCCGCGGUAAUACGGAGGGGGUUAGCGUUGUUCGGAAUUACUGGGCGUAAAGCGCGCGUAGGCGGAUUGGAAAGUUGGGGGUGAAAUCCCGGGGCUCAACCCCGGAACUGCCUCCAAAACUGUUAGUCUUGAGAUCGAGAGAGGUGAGUGGAAUUCCAAGUGUAGAGGUGAAAUUCGUAGAUAUUUGGAGGAACACCAGUGGCGAAGGCGGCCCCCUGGACAGACACUGACACUCAGAUGCGAAAGCGUGGGGAGCAAACAGGAUUAGAUA